This 84-nucleotide transfer RNA is filed under the name Candidatus Nomurabacteria bacterium. RNAcentral's name for it is "tRNA-Tyr". It matches the Rfam family "tRNA". Rfam says of the family: Transfer RNA (tRNA) molecules are approximately 80 nucleotides in length. Their secondary structure includes four short double-helical elements and three loops (D, anti-codon, and T loops). Further hydrogen bonds mediate the characteristic L-shaped molecular structure. tRNAs have two regions of fundamental functional importance: the anti-codon, which is responsible for specific mRNA codon recognition, and the 3' end, to which the tRNAs corresponding amino acid is attached (by aminoacyl-tRNA synthetases). tRNAs cope with the degeneracy of the genetic code in two manners: having more than one tRNA (with a specific anti-codon) for a particular amino acid; and 'wobble' base-pairing, i.e. permitting non-standard base-pairing at the 3rd anti-codon position. The record is from RNAcentral. Lineage: Bacteria; Candidatus Nomuraibacteriota.
GCUGGAGUUGAGCAAUGGUUAGCUCCGCAGACUGUAAAUCUGCCGCCUUUGGCUAUGUAGGUUCGAAUCCUACCUCCAGCACCA